This 399-nucleotide ribosomal RNA is filed under the name uncultured Bacillus sp. RNAcentral's name for it is "bacterial SSU rRNA". It matches the Rfam family "Bacterial small subunit ribosomal RNA", at positions 975 to 1375 of the family's 1533-position model. Lineage: Bacteria; Bacillati; Bacillota; Bacilli; Caryophanales; Bacillaceae. The record is from RNAcentral.
CAGGUCUUGACAUCCCUUGCUAAUCCUAGAAAUAGGACGUUCCCUUCGGGGACAAGGUGACAGGUGGUGCAUGGUUGUCGUCGGCUCGUGUCGUGAGAUGUUGGGUUAAGUCCCGCAACGAGCGCAACCCUUGAUCUUAGUUGCCAGCAUUCAGUUGGGCACUCUAAGGUGACUGCCGGUGACAAACCGGAGGAAGGUGGGGAUGACGUCAAAUCAUCAUGCCCCUUAUGACCUGGGCUACACACGUGCUACAAUGGACAGAACAAAGGGCAGCGAAACCGCGAGGUUAAGCCAAUCCCACAAAUCUGUUCUCAGUUCGGAUCGCAGUCUGCAACUCGACUGCGUGAAGCUGGAAUCGCUAGUAAUCGCGGAUCAGCAUGCCGCGGUGAAUACGUUCCC